This 494-nucleotide ribosomal RNA is filed under the name uncultured bacterium. RNAcentral's name for it is "partial 16S ribosomal RNA". It matches the Rfam family "Bacterial small subunit ribosomal RNA", at positions 28 to 507 of the family's 1533-position model. The record is from RNAcentral.
GACGAACGCUGGCGGCGUGCUUAACACAUGCAAGUCGAACGGAAAGGCCUGCUUUCCCUUGUGGAUUGCGGGUACUCGAGUGGCGAACGGGUGAGUAACACGUGAGUGAUCUGCCCCCAACUUGGGUAUAAGCCUGGGAAACUGGGUCUAAUUCCCGAUAGGACUGCAGGGUGGUGCCUGUGGUGGAAAACGAUUUUCUAGUGGUUGGGGAUGAGCUCGCGGCCUAUCAGCUUGUUGGUGGGGUAAUGGCCUACCAAGGCGGCGACGGGUAGCCGGCCUGAGAGGGUGGACGGCCACAUUGGGACUGAGAUACGGCCCAGACUCCUACGGGAGGCAGCAGUGGGGAAUAUUGCACAAUGGGAGGAAGCCUGAUGCAGCGACGCCGCGUGGGGGAUGACGGCCUUCGGGUUGUAAACUCCUUUCGACCGCGAGGAAGCCACCUGGUUGGAAGGGUGGUGACGGUAGUGGUAGAAGAAGCACCGGCUAACUACGUG